AACGCUAGCUACAGGCUUAACACAUGCAAGUCGAGGGGCAUCAGGGUAGCAAUACCGCUGGCGACCGGCGCACGGGUGAGUAACACGUAUCCAACCUACCGUUAACUCGGGGAUAGCCUUUCGAAAGAAAGAUUAAUACCCGAUAGUAUAUUUUCUUCGCAUGUUGAAAAUAUUAAAGAAUUUCGGUUAUCGAUGGGGAUGCGUUCCAUUAGGCAGUUGGCGGGGUAACGGCCCACCAAACCUACGAUGGAUAGGGGUUCUGAGAGGAAGGUCCCCCACAUUGGAACUGAGACACGGUCCAAACUCCUACGGGAGGCAGCAGUGAGGAAUAUUGGUCAAUGGACGAAGGUCUGAACCAGCCAAGUAGCGUGAAGGAUGACUGCCCUAUGGGUUGUAAACUUCUUUUAUAUGGGAAUAAAGUUCUCCACGUGUGGAGUUUUGUAUGUACCAUUAUGAAUAAGCAUCGGCUAACUCCGUGCAAGCAGCCGCGGUAAUACGGAGGAUGCGAGCGUUAUCCGGAUUUAUUGGGUUUAAAGGGAGCGUAGGUGGACUGGUAAGUCAGUUGUGAAAGUUUGCGGCUCAACCGUAAAAUUGCAGUUGAUACUGUCAGUCUUGAGUACAGUAGAGGUGGGCGGAAUUCGUGGUGUAGCGGUGAAAUGCUUAGAUAUCACGAAGAACUCCGAUUG
This 686-nucleotide ribosomal RNA is filed under the name uncultured bacterium. RNAcentral describes it as "bacterial SSU rRNA". It matches the Rfam family "Bacterial small subunit ribosomal RNA", at positions 32 to 715 of the family's 1533-position model. The record is from RNAcentral.